RNAcentral lists this ribosomal RNA (492 nucleotides) under uncultured bacterium. Its description in RNAcentral is "partial 16S ribosomal RNA". It matches the Rfam family "Bacterial small subunit ribosomal RNA", at positions 29 to 507 of the family's 1533-position model. The record is from RNAcentral.
AGUGAACGCUGGCGGUAGGCCUAACACAUGCAAGUCGAACGGCAGCACAGUAAGAGCUUGCUCUUACGGGUGGCGAGUGGCGGACGGGUGAGGAAUACAUCGGAAUCUACCUUUUCGUGGGGGAUAACGUAGGGAAACUUACGCUAAUACCGCAUACGACCUACGGGUGAAAGCAGGGGAUCUUCGGACCUUGCGCGAUUGAAUGAGCCGAUGUCGGAUUAGCUAGUUGGCGGGGUAAAGGCCCACCAAGGCGACGAUCCGUAGCUGGUCUGAGAGGAUGAUCAGCCACACUGGAACUGAGACACGGUCCAGACUCCUACGGGAGGCAGCAGUGGGGAAUAUUGGACAAUGGGCGUAAGCCUGAUUCAGCCAUACCGCGUGGGUGAAGAAGGCCUUCGGGUUGUAAAGCCCUUUUGUUGGGAAAGAAAAGCAGCAGGUUAAUACCCCGCUGUUCUGACGGUACCCAAAGAAUAAGCACCGGCUAACUUCGUG